GGGUCAGUAGGUUGGUCGUGCCACCGGUACGUACUGGUCUCACUGAUUCCUCCUUCCUGAAGAACCGUAAUGCCAUUAAUUUGGUGUUGCGGGGAAACAGGACUGUUACUUUGAAAAAAUUAGAGUGUUUAAAGCAAGCUAACGCUUGAAUACAUUAGCAUGGAGUAAUGAAAUAGGACGAACGAUCCUAUUUUGUUGGUUUCUAGGAUUGACGUA
This 216-nucleotide ribosomal RNA is filed under the name Glomeromycotina sp. RNAcentral's name for it is "partial small subunit ribosomal RNA". The stretch from base 40 to 216 matches the Rfam family "Eukaryotic small subunit ribosomal RNA", at positions 686 to 864 of the family's 1831-position model. The record is from RNAcentral. Lineage: Eukaryota; Fungi; Glomeromycota.